UGGGGGGUGGGGCUGGCCUACUUCGUCCGCCGGACUCGGAAUGCCGCAAGACUUUGCGAGGGGCCUCCGUUUGCCAAAAAUAGGCCGCGGGAAAAGCCGCGCCCAAAAAUAACCGCCCGAAGGCCGGGGCGCCAAGUUCGUCCAGCGGAAAAAGGCCACAAAAACGGGUGGGCUAUAGCCUUGGGGGGUAGGUCUGGCCCACUUCGUCCGCCGGACUCGGAAUGCCGUGAGACUUUGCGAGGGGCCUCCGUGUGCCAAAAAUAAGCCGCGGGCAAAGCCGCGCCCGAAAAUAACCGUCCGAAGGCCGGCGCGCCAAGUUCGUCCAGCGGAAAAAGGCCACAAAAACGGGUGGGUUAUAGCCUUGGGGGGUGGGGCUGGCCAACUUCGUCCGCCGGACUCGGAAUGCCGCGAGACUUUGUGAGGGGCCUCCGUGUGCCAAAAAUAGGAUGCGGACAAAGCUGCGCCUGAAAAUAACCAUGCGAAGGCUGGGGCGCCAAGUUCGUCCAGCGGAAAAAGGCCACAAAAACGGGUGGGCUAUAGCCUUGGGGGUUGGGGCUGGCCUACUUCGUCCGCCGGACUCGGAAUGCCGCGAUAAUUUGCGAGGGGCCUCCGUGUGCCAAAAAUAGGCCGCGGGCAAAGUCGCGCCCAAAAAUAACCGCCCGAAGGCCGGGGCGCCAAGUUCGUCCAGCGGAAAAAGGCCACAAAAACAGGUGGGCUAUAGCCUGGUGGGGUGGGGCCGGCCAACUUUGUCCGCCGGACUCGGUAUGCCGCGAGACUUUACGAGGGGCCUCCAUGUGCCAAAAAUAGGCCGCGGACAAAGCCGUGCCCAAAAAUAACCGCCCGAAGACCGGGGCACCAAGUUCGUCCAGCGGAAAAAGGCCAUAAAAACGGGCUAUAGGCUUGGGGGGUGAGGCUGGCCAACUUCGUACGCCGGACUCGGAAUGCCGUAAGACAUUGUGAGAGGCCUCCGUGUGCCAAAAAUAGGCCGCGGCCAAAGCCGCACCCAAAAAUAACCGCCCGAAGGCAGGUGUGCCAAGUUCGUCCAGCGGAAAACGGCCACAAAAACGGGUGGGCUAUAGCCUUGGGGCGGGGGGCUGGCCAAAUUCGUCCGCCGUACUCGGAAUGCCGCGAGACUUUGCGAGGGGUCUCCGUGUGCUAAAAAUAGGCUGCGGGCAAAGCCGCACCCAAAAAUAACCGCCCGAAGGCCGGGGCGCCAAGUUCAUCCAGCGGAAAAAGGCCACAAAAACGGGUGGACUAUAGCCUUGGGGGGUGGGGCUGGCCCACUUCGUCCGCCGGACUCGGAAUACCGCGAGACAUUGCGAGGGGCCUCCGUGUGCCAAAAAUAGGCCACGGGAAAAGGCGCGCCCAAAAAUAACCGCCCGAAGGCCGGGGCGCCAAGUUCGUCCGGCGGAAAAAGGCCACAAAAACGGGUGGGCUAUAGCCUUGGGGGGUGGGGCUGGCAACUUCGUCCGCCGGACUCAGAAUGCCGUGAGACUUUGCGAGGGGCCUCCAUGUGAUAAAAAUAGGCUGCGGGUAAAGCCGCGCCCGAAGGCCGGGGCUCCAAGUACGUCCAGCGGAAAAAGGCCA
This 1587-nucleotide long non-coding RNA is filed under the name Citrus x clementina. RNAcentral's name for it is "Citrus clementina (C. clementina) long non-coding RNA (CCLE_LNC003764)". The record is from RNAcentral. Lineage: Eukaryota; Viridiplantae; Streptophyta; Magnoliopsida; Sapindales; Rutaceae.